This 117-nucleotide ribosomal RNA is filed under the name Lepisosteus oculatus (spotted gar). The record is from RNAcentral. Lineage: Eukaryota; Metazoa; Chordata; Actinopteri; Semionotiformes; Lepisosteidae.
GCCAGCAACUAUAUCACCCUGCAGCUCUCAACUGGCUGCCCACUGAAGCUAAGCAGGGUUGAGCCUGGUCAGUACCUGGAUGCGAGACCUCCUGGGAAGCUAUGGUUGCUGCUGGAA